Molecule: ribosomal RNA, 493 nt
Filed under: uncultured bacterium
Lineage: Bacteria
Description: partial 16S ribosomal RNA
Rfam family: Bacterial small subunit ribosomal RNA
Source: RNAcentral
AUUGAACGCUGGCGGCAUGCUUUACACAUGCAAGUCGAACGGUAACAGGUUAAGCUGACGAGUGGCGAACAGGUGAGUAAUGCAUCGGAACGUGCCCGAUCGUGGGGGAUAACGCAGCGAAAGCUGCGCUAAUACCGCAUACGAUCUGAGGAUGAAAGCGGGGGACCGUAAGGCCUCGCGCGAUCGGAGCGGCCGAUGUCAGAUUAGGUAGUUGGUGGGGUAAAGGCUCACCAAGCCGACGAUCUGUAGCUGGUCUGAGAGGACGACCAGCCACACUGGGACUGAGACACGGCCCAGACUCCUACGGGAGGCAGCAGUGGGGAAUGUUGGACAAUGGGCGAAAGCCUGAUCCAGCAAUGCCGCGUGCAGGAAGAAGGCCUUCGGGUUGUAAACUGCUUUUGUACGGAGCGAAAAGGCUCUCUCUAAUACAGGGGGCUCAUGACGGUACCGUAAGAAUAAGCACCGGCUAACUACGUGCCAGCCGCCGCCGUAA